RNAcentral lists this unclassified non-coding RNA (507 nucleotides) under uncultured Entrophospora. RNAcentral's name for it is "SSU rRNA". It matches the Rfam family "Eukaryotic small subunit ribosomal RNA", at positions 591 to 1092 of the family's 1831-position model. The record is from RNAcentral. Lineage: Eukaryota; Fungi; Glomeromycota; Glomeromycetes; Entrophosporales; Entrophosporaceae.
CCAAUAGCGUAUAUUAAAGUUGUUGCAGUUAAAAAGCUCGUAGUUGAAUUUCGGGAUUGACGUGAUGGUCAUGCCUUAAGGGGUAUGAACUGUUACUGUUGAUUUCUCACCUUCUGGAGAAACUUGAUGUCCUUUAUUGGGUGUCUUGCGGAUCCAGGACCUUUACCUUGAAAAAAUUAGAGUGUUUAAAGCAGGCAUUUUUGCUCGAAUACAUUAGCAUGGAAUAAUAGAAUAGGACGGCAUGGUUCUAUUUUGUUGGUUUCUAGGAUCACCGUAAUGAUUAAUAGGGAUAGUUGGGGGCAUUAGGAUUCAAUUGUCAGAGGUGAAAUUCUUGGAUUUAUUGAAGACUAACUACUGCGAAAGCAUUUGCCAAGGAUGUUUUCAUUAAUCAAGAACGAAAGUUAGGGGAUCGAAGACGAUCAGAUACCGUCGUAGUCUUAACCAUAAACUAUGCCGACUAGGAAUCAGACGAUGUUAAUUUUUUAAUGACUCGUUUGGCACCUUACG